RNAcentral lists this long non-coding RNA (582 nucleotides) under Homo sapiens (human). RNAcentral's name for it is "HSALNT0089291". Lineage: Eukaryota; Metazoa; Chordata; Mammalia; Primates; Hominidae. The record is from RNAcentral.
CCAGAAUGUGAUGUGCAUUACAGGCAAUCUGCUAAAGAGAUUGCAAAGACAACCUAACCCUCACCCCUGGAAGGCAGAGGUUGCAGUGAGCCGAGAUUGCGCUACUGCACUCCAGCUUGGGUGACGGAGUGAGACUCUGUCUCAAAAAAAUAAAAAACACUCACCCCUUUAUAUAACCAGGCAGAUGCAACCCAUGUCAUACAUGUUUUCAAGAUAAACAACUAGUCCUCAAAUAAGAUGACUUCACAGCACCACCUGUCACCUGCGAAUCGGAGUAGUCACCUGUGUUUGUUAAUUGUCUUUAUCCAAAGGAAAAUUAAAUUUCUUAUGUCUUUAUGGUAGGUUUGUAACUUAACAGGUGCCAGCUGAAGUUAGGUUCCUACCCUUCCAUAGGACUAGGAAAUAGGAAUGCUAUUUCCCUCGAUGAUUUCAUUUCAAAGAGAAGGCUUCCAGGUCCUUAAGGAUAAGAUUAUGGGGUUGGGGAAAAAAAAAACUGACAAGAGAUUUAUUUAUCUUUUUUUUUUUAAACUAACACCUUUCUCAUGGGUUAUUAAGCUUAUUUAAAAAAAGAUGUAGGCCGGG